AAAUUAUAUAAAAAGAAGAAGAAUCUUUGAUUUUUUUUUGAAAAGGAGUAACCGGGCUUCUUUGAAGUGAUAAGACUAUUCAAAUUCCAAUAUUCGUGGAGAAAGAAUAGUAAUAAAUGUAAAGAAGAGGCAUCUUUUACCCAAUAGCGAAGAGUUUGAACCAAGAUUUCCAGAUGAACGGGGUAGGGUAUUAGUAUAUCUAAUACAUAAUUUAGAUGUGAAAAAUUGUCCUCUAAAAAAGGAAAUGUUGAAUGAAUUGAUCGUAAAUUAUAAGAUUUUAAAAUCUUUUUGCCUUCGAAAAAAGAUAAAGAAGAUAUUAAUCGUAGAGAAAACGGAAUUUCCACAAUAAAUACAAAUCCCUCUGAUAUCAUUUGAGAAUACAAACUCUUGUUGCACUCCAAAAAUGGAUUUUUGUUAGAAUCAUUAGUAGAAAUAAGAAAAUGAUUCUGUUGAUACAUUCGAGUAAUUAAACGUUUCACAAUUAGGAAACUAAAUUUAUUGUUAUAACCCGGAUUUUCCAACAAAAUUGACCUAUUUCUAUUUAAACCAUGAUCAUGAGCAAGUGCAUAAAUAUACUCCUGAAAGAUAAGUGGAUAUAGGAAGUUGUGUUGUUGCGAGCUAUCUAGCUGUAAAUAUCUUUGGAUUUCUUCCAUUUGAAAUUCGAUUUGAACCAAAGAUGGAAGAUUUUUAGGGUUAUCAAAUGAUACAUAGUGCGAUACAGUUAAAACAAAGCAUUCUAGUAAUAAUAGAUACCUUGGAUACAGGUAAACUUCUCAACGGAUUCUCUAUCAUCUCUUUUUUUUAUUUCAGUUAAUUGGUCUAUGUUAUAGUAUGUAUUGUUAUAUCUCAAACUCUAGAGUAGAAUGGUUGCAGUUAAGUUUAGAGUUUAUUAAGGGGAUCCGCAGACUUAUAAUGAUGGGUUAAAUCUAAAGGGAAGAUGACAAAAUAAGUAACCAAGUCAGGAUUUCAGAUUAUAGCAGUGAUGCUAGUGAGUACUAGAGCAACAGUAAGGGGGGAAGGUACCCGACCCAUUCUUAUCUCAGUAUAAUUUAUGGAUGUUUUCUUAGAAGUUUGUAUGUGGUUAUAAUGAUAGGCUUGAAAGUUAUCUUGGUAUAUAAGUGGAUGGGUACAUUGUGUGCUCGUGAAUUCCUAGUAAGAGGAUUAAAUUUAGUUAUUGAAGGGGUAAGAAGAGUUAUUCUUACAAUAUGAAUUUGUGAAAACGCAUGGGGUAUUGAAUUCAUGGUUCAGACUAGUGUUAUGUUAUUAUGUGUAGUACUUUGUAGAUUUGAGUAGGCUUGAACAUAGUGAGAGAAUUCUGUUCAGCUCAGACAUUGGUAGAUAGGGUUAUCAGUGCCUAUGUAAAGAUCAUAAGUAGCCUCAAGUGAAGUGCGGUAUUGAUGGGUAACGUAUAGUUGAGGGAGUAUUUGAGGAGUAUGUCUAAGCUCGAAAGUGUUAGUUGUAUUGCCUAAGGCCUGGUAAUUCUACCCCAACUUAGGUUUCAUAGGACUAUCUUCCAUAUUAUAGAGUUAUAUCUAUAUUAAGAUUCCUUGCUCGGAUAUCUUAUUCAGAUCAUGCCCAAGAAUUCUUUCCCCUCUAAUGUUAUUAGAAUUUCUUGCAAAGAGUGUUUGAGAAAUACUCUAGUUGAGUAUAAGCUUUCAGUAUAAUUUAGUCCGUGUAGCCAACAGUCCAGUUUAGUAGUUAGACAAAUAAGUUCCUAUAGUUUUCCAUCUUUCCUAUUCCUGAGGCAAUUUAUUCACAUCCAUGCAAGUUGAAAAUUUAGUUUAGUCCAAGCAUCGUGUUUUAGAUUCAGCUAAUUAGUCAUGACUCAUUUCAUAAGUGUUCAAUACAUGCAUGAUAUCAGUUUUCCAAGUGUAUGAUCUCAAUUUUCCAAGUAUUCCAGCUUAAAAGUGUAAUACCCCUUUAUGACCGUGGUCUCACAAUUCGUUCUUCCAUUGCAUCAUUCAUCACUUUGGAGUUCUAUAUGUAUGAUUGUAUAAUGAACAUUUCAAGUGAUUUCUAAACUCUCAACAUGAAUCAAUUUCUUACAGUGAAUAAAGUCAAGCAGCUCAGAAACCAGUUUCAUAAUGAAAGCUCUAAUGUUUCAGUUCAGCUACAUCCUUCAUUACCAGACAUUUUAUGCCUAAAUUAUUCCAUACUCAUAAUGCUUCAACAAGUUUCUAUCCAUCAUUCUAGAAUGAAUGUUUCCAAGAGGGAUAUAAUGUAACACUCCACAUUUUUAGGAUAGACUUUGAGUCAUCAUUUCUACGUGUGCAAGUUCUAAUACCAUGAUUUGUAUGUGAAUAUAUGUGUCAUGAUAUUUAUCCUAGUGUGUAAAGUUCUUAGGAGGUGAAAAAUAUUCAUAGAAAUCACUUAGAGCAAAGUUGAGUUAACAGCCUUUGAUUCGGCCAAGUUUUGGUAUUCAACUCUACAAGGGUCAACUUUAAAUGUGUAUAAAUUUUUAUAUAUGUGGAAUUUUUAGAUCAAGACCCGUUAAAUGAUAGAUAAUUGAGUUAUCUUUCCAGAUAUACCAAUUUUUCCUUAAUCCGAUACCCAAGCAAAACUUUAUGGCCUUUUUUGUGAGAGGCCGUAAGGGUCCAAGAUUUGGCCGCGGUGCGGCGGUCUAUCCCCGAGAUAAGGGGCACAACGCGACACAUCGCUCUCUUAACACGAUAAGGGAUGCGACGCGGAGUUUAUUUCCCCUCUGUUUCAGCUUCUUAAGUGUCAAGGGGCUCUUGGUCCUUUCCCCUCAGCCCUAAAUGUCCAAGUCAUGAAUUAAAGCACCCAAAAAGGCAUUAUUUGCCCAUCUUUUUCAAAUCAACCCACGUAAAAACCCUCUCUUUUCCAAGAACAAUAAUUCAAGCUUAUUAUCUCAAGAAAACAAGGGUUUAAGUUUUGAAUUUAAGAUUUCUUCAAGAAUCAAUAUUCAAGAAAUAUCAAGAAUAAGGUUUCUUUCACAAGUUCAUCAUUCAAGUCCCAAGUCCCAAGCUUUCUUCACAAGUCAAGAAACUUAAGGUAUAUGGGAUUUAUUAACAAGGACAUUCUUCCAUCCUUGGGCCCAAAGCUUGUUUAAAAGGUUAAGUAAUAUGAUUUUCAAUUAUGGUUCAUACCCAACUUAGCUUGUUUUGAUAUUAUGAAAUUAUUAGGUGGUUGAAGUAUUAAAGUGCAUACAUGAUCUUAUCUAUUUAUUUUGACUUGGAUAUUCUCUAUAUUAUGAUUUGAAUUUCAUGAGUUUAAUUUGAAACAUUGAUUAAAUAUUUUCGAUUGAGUUUUAAUCAUGAUAUUGUAUCACAAUCUAUAUGAAAGAAAGUAUAAGAUUCAGGGCUUGAGUAAGUUUACUAGAAAAGUUUGAAUCUUUUGAUUCCAAAAUAAAGCUUGAAAUCCACAAUUGUUUAUCAUCCUAUGAUACAAAGCAAAGAUUGAUCUUUUAAUCUUAAGAUAAAAUACGAAAUUCACAUUUGUUCAUUCUGAUUAUGAUUUAAACAAAGAGAAGCAUAACUUGUUUUCAUUCUGUAAAACCCUAUGCUAUUUUUAAGGUGGAUUUCCUAAAGUAUGAGCAUAUAAGUAAUAUGGGAGUAGUAUUUAGCACCUAGUUGGGUAUGAGUCCAAGGUCACAUGUCCCAGAACUACGUGCCACCAUAGGUUUAAGUCCCAAUAUGGGUUAAGUAUAGUUAUCACUAAGUUAAGGUUCUAUUCCAAUGGGAAGUGUAGAACAGCUCUCCCCCAACGUGGGUAAGACGUUGGACUCCAUGAUAGCUCACAUGGUUUAUGUUGGUUAGAAGAAUCUCCCAAAAGAAAGAAUAAAAAGUAAAGCUUUUAUAAACUAAGUGUGGUGUCUCACAAAGUUUAUUCAGUAUGCUUUAUUAUUCAUGGUUUAUGAUUUUUCAUCUUUCAGUUUUUUUCAAGCUCUAGGUGAGUCAGUUACACUUAGCAUGCAUUUCCAUCAUUCUAGAAUGAAUGUUUCCAAGAGGGAUAUAAUGUAACACUCCACAUUUUUAGGAUAGACUUUGAGUCAUCAUUUCUACGUGUGCAAGUUCUAAUACCAUGAUUUGUAUGUGAAUAUAUGUGUCAUGAUAUUUAUCCUAGUGUGUAAAGUUCUUAGGAGGUGAAAAAUAUUCAUAGAAAUCACUUAGAGCAAAGUUGAGUUAACAGCCUUUGAUUCGGCCAAGUUUUGGUAUUCAACUCUACAAGGGUCAACUUUAAAUGUGUAUAAAUUUUUAUAUAUGUGGAAUUUUUAGAUCAAGACCCGUUAAAUGAUAGAUAAUUGAGUUAUCUUUCCAGAUAUACCAAUUUUUCCUUAAUCCGAUACCCAAGCAAAACUUUAUGGCCUUUUUUGUGAGAGGCCGUAAGGGUCCAAGAUUUGGCCGCGGUGCGGCGGUCUAUCCCCGAGAUAAGGGGCACAACGCGACACAUCGCUCUCUUAACACGAUAAGGGAUGCGACGCGGAGUUUAUUUCCCCUCUGUUUCAGCUUCUUAAGUGUCAAGGGGCUCUUGGUCCUUUCCCCUCAGCCCUAAAUGUCCAAGUCAUGAAUUAAAGCACCCAAAAAGGCAUUAUUUGCCCAUCUUUUUCAAAUCAACCCACGUAAAAACCCUCUCUUUUCCAAGAACAAUAAUUCAAGCUUAUUAUCUCAAGAAAACAAGGGUUUAAGUUUUGAAUUUAAGAUUUCUUCAAGAAUCAAUAUUCAAGAAAUAUCAAGAAUAAGGUUUCUUUCACAAGUUCAUCAUUCAAGUCCCAAGUCCCAAGCUUUCUUCACAAGUCAAGAAACUUAAGGUAUAUGGGAUUUAUUAACAAGGACAUUCUUCCAUCCUUGUGCCCAAAACUUGUUUAAAAGUUUAAGUAAUAUGAUUUUCAAUUAUGGUUCAUACCCAACUUAGCUUGUUUUGAUAUUAUGAAAUUAUUAGGUGGUUGAAGUAUUAAAGUGCAUACAUGAUCUUAUCUAUUUAUUUUGACUUGGAUAUUCUCUAUAUUAUGAUUUGAAUUUCAUGAGUUUAAUUUGAAACAUUGAUUAAAUAUUUUCGAUUGAGUUUUAAUCAUGAUAUUGUAUCACAAUCUAUAUGAAAGAAAGUAUAAGAUUCAGGGCUUGAGUAAGUUUACUAGAAAAGUUUGAAUCUUUUGAUUCCAAAAUAAAGCUUGAAAUCCACAAUUGUUUAUCAUCCUAUGAUACAAAGCAAAGAUUGAUCUUUUAAUCUUAAGAUAAAAUACGAAAUUCACAUUUGUUCAUUCUGAUUAUGAUUUAAACAAAGAGAAGCAUAACUUGUUUUCAUUCUGUAAAACCCUAUGCUAUUUUUAAGGUGGAUUUCCUAAAGUAUGAGCAUAUAAGUAAUAUGGGAGUAGUAUUUAGCACCUAGUUGGGUAUGAGUCCAAGGUCACAUGUCCCAGAACUACGUGCCACCAUAGGUUUAAGUCCCAAUAUGGGUUAAGUAUAGUUAUCACUAAGUUAAGGUUCUAUUCCAAUGGGAAGUGUAGAACAGCUCUCCCCCAACGUGGGUAAGACGUUGGACUCCAUGAUAGCUCACAUGGUUUAUGUUGGUUAGAAGAAUCUCCCAAAAGAAAGAAUAAAAAGUAAAGCUUUUAUAAACUAAGUGUGGUGUCUCACAAAGUUUAUUCAGUAUGCUUUAUUAUUCAUGGUUUAUGAUUUUUCAUCUUUCAGUUUUUUUCAAGCUCUAGGUGAGUCAGUUACACUUAGCAUGCAUUAUUUUAAAGUGAAUGAAUAUGUUAAGUUGUUGUUUUACUUAGGCAUUCACCCCCACAUACUCAGUAUAUUCCCGAAGUACUGAACCACAUAUAUGUCUAUGUGCUACAUUGUCUCAUAAUAUAGGUACCAAUUGUAGCACACACAUCAUAAUCAGACAGUUCGCAACUUUCAGUCAGUAGGUGAUGGGUUCUUCUGAUUUGAGAACUCAAGUCAACUAUAGUUCUAGUAGCAUUUUUACUAAGUCGUAUUGAUUAGGGAUAACUGGGGGUCAUGUCCAGGCUUCCUAUAGUCAGUAUUAGUAUAGUCUUCAUAGACGGUCAUUCAGAUUUAAUGUAUUUACUUUCAGUUUUCUUUAGUAUAACUAAAGUGUAAAUGUUAGAAACAGUUUUGUUUAGAACAUAUUCAGCUAAAGACAUUUCUUCCGCUUAUUACUUCACGUUUUAGGUAGUUUAAAUCAAUCGCUCAUGCAUUAUGCUAGUACAUGGGUUAUCUUAGGAUCACUUGUAGUCCAAAGCACCGUGUGACAUCUAGGGGAUAGUUUCGGGGCGCUUCAAGGUGACAUAGGAAGCUAUAUGGCUAAGAUCCCACCUGGGGAGGUAACAUAGAUGAAGACUGAAUUCCUAAUCUCAGAACACCAAACUCAGAUUCCGAUGCUAAAGGAAGAACAACACUCGAAGUCUGUGGAGCAGUAAAAAUAGAAGUAGGUACUACUGGAGGAUCCACAAUCUAGCUAGAGGAACACCAUAAGCAGACCCUGGCACAGAUGGAUAUACAAUACUCGAAACUAGGGGAACACCAAACAAACUCAAAGAACCACCCUUUAAAUAGGUCAAAAAAUGACCCAACAAUCCCUUUAACACUGAGGUAGAAGAACUCGGUAGAACCAAAGUAGGACCCACAUCUCCAAUAUGCUCAACACGAGGCUUAGGAGAAAGUGCCAUAGCACUACUCAAGGAUGGGCCUGAUCCACGUGCCCAUCCACUACCUCGAGUCCAUCCAUAACUCACAACUUUCCCUCUAGACUGUGAUCUCUCCCUAGAUGAAGGCUCUGUAUCUCUAACCUCACGAGACAUAGUCAUCACCAUCUGCGCAGAAAAGAGAGUAAUAUGACUCAGAACAUAAGGUCUGAAAGAACUCCGCACGAUAAGGAACAAAAUAAGAAAAAUUUCCUAUACAUCUUAUAGCCUCUCAAAGAUAGAUAUGGACGUCUGCGGACCAAUCCAUGAGACACUAUUUGGCAUCUCAUUCUUACAUGAUUAAGACUGAUGAAACUGGCUGCUUUGCUACCAAUUUAUCAUGACCCAAAAAUCCAAGGGUCCUGAUAGUACUUGUCACGGUGAACCUUGACAAGUAAGCCAAUCACAAAAUUGAUACAAAAGAGAAAUUAACAUUCAAAACCCAAGGCUAAGAGCGAAUCCAAACCAUAAUCGAUAUAAUGAAUGCUAAAAGAAUCAUAAACAAUAAUGUUAUAACUCCCAAAACCUGGUGUCACAGUGUAAGAACUACUUUACAAUCCAUGAAUCAAUUACAUAAGAAAUCUAAUAAGAACAACUCUAUCUCUGAAUACUAGUAAAGACAUAGUAGAGCACAAAAAGAUAGAAAUGGACUCCAGACGCAUGAAAAUCUAGCCGCUAUCUUGAAAAACCCCGAAGGUGCUUGGAUCAACCACUAUAGGGCGCACUUAAACCAGGAUCUACACUGAAAGGGUACAAUAUGGGUGAGUAUGGUACACUUGUACUUGGUAGGUAUCAUAGGCUAAUCAAGCAAUGUAGAAAAUACGGCAUACAAUACACACUAAGGGCACGCCACCUAAAACCAGAAAAUGUCCCACGACGGUAGCCCACAACACUUGCAUUAACAGUUGUAUAAUACUCACAUAUAUUGCAAUACUAGAAAGUACCCCAAGUAUACAUUAUACCACAUACAAGUAAAGCACAGAAGGACAACAUAUACAAGAACAUCAAAUAUAAGUAAAGAAAGAUAUAACAAAUGAAUAGGUAACAAUUCAAGACAGAAACAAAAUCACAUCACAAGCAUACUAAAGUAAAUACAAUGGAAAUAGUGAGGAUGAUGAUGACCUCUGAGACUGUCACACGAUCUCUAUAGACACCUAUGAAGCUAAAGCUACAAGACAUAGGAUCCAUAUGGGGUUUAUCAACCCAUAUACGACCAAUAUCCAUGACUCAUCUCUGACACAUGCCUUAGAGAAGGUUUAUAAAAUCUGAUGUUCCCAGUGUUUUCAGAAUUUCUAGUAAUUCCAAUAUUUCCCGUGUUUCUAAUAAUUUCACUAUUUCCAGUAUUUUCAGAGCACACACGUAACAUAAGGUGCAAAUUAAGUACAACAUACAACAUAGUUUUUUCAUCAAACAAGAUACAAUUAUUUCAUGCAUAUAGGUUAUCAACAUCACAUAGGACCCCACACGGUCACACAUAGCAUGUAAUAUCCCAAAACUACCAAAUACAUCACAUAUAGGCCCUAUAAGGGCACAAAACAAUAAGAUAACCAUUUUUCAUGAUUAGUUCCCACAUCCUUAACAUGCUUUUGUAUAAAAAUUAACUACCCAGCCCAAUCUGAAAGAAGUUAAGCCACAACCUACCUCGAAUAUCAAAAACCAGAACAAUAUCCACCAAUCCCAAAGACUCACUCCUCACGAACAGUCCAUAAAUCAACUAAAAUAUGAAAAUAUAGAAUCUACAUAUCAAAAAAAAGCCAAUGAUACCCGUAUUUCCCAGUUUCAAGUUGGGUCAAAACGGACCCCGAAAUGGAUUUUCAAAAAAUAAGGAAAAUUAUAACUUUGCUUCAAAAAUAUGCUCCCCAUAUUUUUAGGAGUUUACAGCCUAAAACCCAAGCGACAAUUAGUUAAAACAAGGUCCAAAUUGAAGAAAAAUUAUUUUCAAGCUUUACAGGAUAAAAAUCCCCGAAACCCAUUUAAAAUUUGAGAAUUAAAGUUGUUUAGAAGAUAAAAUUAAGGGAAAACUACUAAUUAUAAGAUUAAAAACUCACCAAGUGAAAAAGGUUGAAAUCGAAUUUUAAAUUGGAGAACUACAAUUUUUAGGCCUUACUGGCCAAAAUUCCAAAAUAUCAUACUUCAAUCCAAGUUUAAAACAAGAAAUAGAUGAUAAAGAUUGAAAGAAAUAAUUGAAAUAAGUGUUAUGGAGCUUACCCAAGCUUAAAAGUGAUGAAAGUUGCUCAAAACCAUAAAACCCUAAUCUCCAAGUCUCAAAAAGGUGAAAAAUAGUGAAACCUGGGUAUUUAUAUACCCAGGCAUUGCGAUCGCGGACCAAGUCUAGCGACCUCGAUACCUGGCUAAAGCAACUAUCACAAUCAUAGACUAAGUGUUGCAAUUAUGGCACUUAACUUACGUGCGAAAUCGCGAUUGUGGCAGUAGCCUCGUGAUUACGGGCGCACCAGUUGGGACUUGGUGAAAUCCCAUGUCUCUGUGGGCCCCUCAAGAUUCACUCAAAAUAUCAUGAAUGCAAUGAACUAUGCUACCCUAUUAAAUAACAUACUUUGGACUCAAUGUUGAUAUGAAAAUUUCAAAAGAAAAAUCAUUUUCACAGAUUUUGCCCCAAAAACCCAAAAUCACAACUUUCUAAUCGAGGGUCAAAAUGAGAAUUAAAAGCCAUAAUACUACAACAACCAUGUUACCACCCUAAAAUUGGCGUUUUGAAUCCACUGGCGCAAUUCAUUUUGCCACCUGAGCACAAAUCAAAAAAUGGUGGUUGAAUUCAACUAUAAGGCUCUUAAUGCCACCAAAAACCACAAUAUUGCAUAAGUCAAAUAAACAUGCAUCAAAAACCAUACCAAUCAUCCCCACACCCCAGGAACACUACAACACAGUCACAAGGAAAGUUAAAAUUGUCAAAUCACACAAAAACACACAUUACACAUAAUUUAUCAAAAUUUGAUUUGUUACAUCAUCCAUCACUAAAAAUCUAGUUCGCCAUCAAACUAAAGGCAAGAGAAAUAGCCGAGUCAGCAGGAUAACAACUACAAAUAUCAGACUCGACCUCCCAAGUAGCCUCAUCUAUAGGUUGAUGCCUCCACUAGAGCCUAAUCACAGGAAUAACUCUAGAGCGCAACUGUCUAACAUGCCUAGGCAAUAUGGAGACCGGCUCCUUAACAAAAGACCACCUCUUAUCUAACUGAACCAACUCCCAAUAAAUGACCUAAGCCUCAUCCAAAAUAUAAUGGAAAUCCAUAAAAACAUGAAAUACUUUAUAAAUAGCUGAUAAGUCUGGGGGAAAGUCUAACUCAUAAGCCACAUCACCAAUAGUCCAAAGAAUCUCAAAUG
This 9988-nucleotide long non-coding RNA is filed under the name Capsicum annuum. RNAcentral's name for it is "long non-coding RNA (CANN_LNC002007)". The record is from RNAcentral. Lineage: Eukaryota; Viridiplantae; Streptophyta; Magnoliopsida; Solanales; Solanaceae.